GAUAGCUCAGUUGGCAGAGCGGAGGACUGUAGAUGUUACAACGGUGAUCCUUAGGUCGCUGGUUCAAAUCCGGCUGCCG
Molecule: transfer RNA, 79 nt
Filed under: Cordylochernes scorpioides
Lineage: Eukaryota; Metazoa; Arthropoda; Arachnida; Pseudoscorpiones; Chernetidae
Description: tRNA-Tyr
Rfam family: tRNA
About the family: Transfer RNA (tRNA) molecules are approximately 80 nucleotides in length. Their secondary structure includes four short double-helical elements and three loops (D, anti-codon, and T loops).
Source: RNAcentral